This is a long non-coding RNA of Malania oleifera, 1526 nucleotides long. RefSeq lists it as uncharacterized. The record is from RefSeq and is a predicted model, not a curated record. The transcript is spliced from 2 exons. Lineage: Eukaryota; Viridiplantae; Streptophyta; Magnoliopsida; Santalales; Ximeniaceae.
AUAUACCUCUGUUUCGAACUCAGCUACACAUGAGGAGAAUUUAUCACAAACACAUGGUGUGCAGACUAGAAAGGAAUCGUAGAGUAUUGUAAAUUAUGUUACUCUCUACGGUUAUAUGUAACAAACUUAUUCCUUUAUUAUUCCCUUUCUUUUGUAUAUAUAUCGAUACAUCAAUACAAUGAAAUCAAUGAGAUGAAUUCCAUCCAUUCAUGCUUCGUCUAACAUGGUAUCAGAACCAACAUGCCAAUAGUCCUUCUGAUUCUGCAUCAAUGGCGGUCAAUCCAUCUUCUUCCCCUUCCCUUCACUCUUCCGCUACUACUUCUUUUUCUCACAUAAUAACCACAAAACUUUCCAUUGAUAAUUAUCUUUUAUGGAACGUUCAAAUCUCUGCCUACCUACGUGGGUAGGAUCUCUUCUCCUUCGUCGACGGUUCUUCCAAACCUCCAUCAGAGUUCCUUCCCGAUUCCUCCCAAUCUAACCCAAAACCCAACCCUAAUUUUGAUUCUUGGAGGCGUACCGACCAGCUGGCUCCUAGCAUCCUCUUUAUCAAAUAAGGACCUUGUUACCUAUUUGUUAAAUGGACUUUGCCCCUCUUACGAGCUGUUCGUUACCUCCAUCACUACCAAAACCACCCCUGUUUCCUUCCAUGAACUCUAUCAACUCCUUCUUAUCCAUGAAUCCCGACUUACUCAUACAAACCGAUCCAUUAAUUCUUCUCUGGAACCAUCUGCAAAAUAUACCUCCUCUACAAGAGAUCAGUGUGGUCGUGGACCCAAUCGAGGAGGAUGACAAGUGCGUAGUAGGGGACGUUACCCUCACAAUGGUCGCGGUGACAGACCUCCCUAUCCCUUAAAUUCAUCUCAGCAAUACAAUGCUCAACGCUCAACUUGUCAAGUUUGCAACAAGGCUGGACACGUCGCACUUCAAUGCCAACAUCGAUUCAACCACUCGUACCAAUAUAAAGCUCCCAGCAACUUCUCUGCGAACUACACAGCUUAGACUCAGCCUUCUGAAUCGUUUUGGUACCCCGAUUCUGCAGCCACACAUCAUCUCACUAAUGAUUUAUCUAACUUGAAUUUAUCAUCUGAAGCAUAUGCAGGUGGUGAGAUCAUAAGAGUAGGUGACGGCAAUAGUCUUCCAAUCGAAAACUCCGGACAAGGUAACCGGGAAAAUACUCCUCACCGGUCCAACCCGUAAUGGACUCUACCACUUUCCUUCUGCUACAUCCAUUUCGUCGUCUCCAUCAACUCAUAUUGGUGAACGAAUAUCCAUGGAUCAAUGGCACCGAAGACUUGGGCACCCCUCCUUAACCUUGGUCUCUCGCGUUCUGCAGUCCAAGUGUUUGCCAAUAUCUCCCACAGACUCUGUUUUCGAGUGCUCCGAAUGUCCCUUAACAAAAUGUCAUCAGUUUUAUUUUCCUUCAAAAUAGGCCCAUUAUACUCGGCCUUUACAACUGUUAUGUGCUGACCUAUGGGGUCUAACUAUGUCUCAAAAAUGGUUAUAAAUGGCCUCUUUUACACGUUUUA